Long non-coding RNA from Cygnus olor (mute swan), 2292 nucleotides. RefSeq lists it as uncharacterized. The transcript has 4 exons. NCBI's taxonomy places the organism in Eukaryota, Metazoa, Chordata, Aves, Anseriformes, Anatidae. The record is from RefSeq and is a predicted model, not a curated record.
CUUCCACCAGCAAGCGGCCCUACACGGGGCUCGUGUGCCCCACAUGGGGCUGGGAUGCCAUGGGCUCCGUGCAGCUCCGAGCGUAACCCAGACCGUGACCUGCCCUCACACAGAUGCCGGCGGAGUGCAAACACCCCACCUCCUCCGACAAACACCGCCGUCAGACGUGGCUGCAGCCAUGCAGGAGCGGGCACCUCCUGGCACCCCCUCGGCCACUGACGCCGCAGGGUGAAAAUUUUCGGGAGGAAGGAGCAUAUUGAAACUCUUCAAUGGGAAAGCACCUGGUGAAAACCCACUGGGGACUUCCCCUCCCCUGGCUCCCAGGGACAAGUAUGGUCUGGGGUCCCCCUGGGAAGGGAUGGAGACCCCAGGUGCUGUGUCUCGAUGGUGUGCCAAGGGACGGGGACGCUGGUCCUCAGCCGCGCUGGAUGCAUUCGCAACAGCUGGGUCGCUGCCUGGAGGGAGCAGACAGACGGAUGCAGAUGAGAGCAACUGGAGGCUGCAGUGUCAUCCCGUGGCUUCUGGAUGGAGCACACCGCAACCCUUGCCCCUGAGCCCAGCCCCGGUGGCCAUCCCUGAUGUCCCAGAGGUCACCGUCCUGCAGUGUGGGUUCAUGUUGCACGGGUUAACUCUGUUAUCCAAGCCCUGAGCUUUGCCAUCAGUCAGUAGCAGUCCAAGCUCAAGCUUCAGCCAUCAGUCCCCAGUCUGCACAGUCCUCUCCAUCCUGCUGGCAUCUUGUAUCUACUUCCAGAGCCACCUUUGCCCAGGAUGCUCCAGGACCAGCUUGGAAGGAUACAGCUGGAGGGAAUUCACAAACCCCAAGCAACAGAAGGGGAAAGAAGCAUGGGGAGAUACGCAAGACACGUCAGCCCAGCUGGGACUGAGCUGUUCCCAGUCUGUCCAUCUCUUCCAACAUUUCCGGACUGUCUCAUCUCUUUUCCUUCCAUCAGGGACACCUACAUAUUAAGGUUCCUGUUCCCCAUCCCUCUUUCCUCAUCGUGAUUUUCUGUGUAUGGCUUAUUGUGGGAGAUGGAAGUGAGAAGUCUGAAAUGCUCCUUGGCAGGAGGACAGACUCAUUCUGCUGCCUGGCACAGGUAGCACUUGCCUGCUGGUGUGUCUUUGCCCCAGGGUAGUUCCCCUGUGCUUUUUGGGGUGACAAGUCGUGGGCUGUGAGAAUCACCUCUCCCACAUUCACAAAGCCAAUUCUGGCGAUACCAGAAGGGGCCAGACUUCCCAUCCCAUCUGACCCCAGUGCAUUGCUCACACCAGAGACCAUCCCCGCACUCCUCCCCACAAACUUCUGGCUUCUCAGGAGCAGAGUUGCCUCCUAGCAAGGCCUGGUCAUCUUCUGCAGACCACGGUGUCCCUGGGGACUUCAUGACCCUCCGCAAGCCUUGAAGAUCUUGGGUUGACUCCAUGCAUCAUGGUGAGCUGGGACAGAAAAGACAUCCCUAGACUGCUGCUGUUGCUGCCCAUCACCAGAUCUGGGGGACCUGCACUGCAGCGAGGUGUGUCUGGGGGUGGUGGCUGCCUGCCCAGAUGCCAUGCACAGAGGGACACUUUGGAGACAGGUCACCACCUUCCGGCAUGGGAUGGAGCCAGCCAGCUGAGCAGAGGUGGCCGGAGGAGCUACACUGAGACUUUGACCGUGAUGAUUCCUUCUGGAGAGUAGAGAUCAAGCAAGACUGAGCCUGAUGGUCAAUGCUGGCAGCCAAAACGAGCUCCUCCUUGCUCUGCUGCUGCAUUGGCUUUCUUCUCCCCAUGCGGCACCACUUCCAGACGCUGAUAUGCAAGGAAAGUCUUUUCUAAUUGUUCCUGACUUCAGAUGCUGCCAGGUAAACAGCAUGGAAAUUAGUGGAGACAAGUAAAUAAUUUGUAAAUAAUCAUUUAUUUAUUACUUUCCCCUCCUUUCCCUGUGCAAGCAGAUUGCAGGAUGCCUCAGAAGUGCUCGCAAUUUGGAGUGAGUUCUCUUGUGAGGCAUUUCCCACUCCCUAUAAAUAACUUAUGAACAGAUCAGAGUGAAUAUUAAAGGCCUGAAAAUCCAGAGAGUUGUGCUGCUGAGCUGAGUAAGUACUGCUCCAGUUCCUUGAAUAGACGAGCUAUCCAACGAAACAGCAUGAGGAGCUUUCAGAGUGCUGUAAUUAAAGUGUACGCACGUUUGUUAGUCAAUGGCUUGCCCGUGGGGUAGGGUAGGUGGUGUGCAGGAAAGGAUUGAUGCACCCUGAGAAAGGAUGCUGUCUUACUGCUGAGGGUACAUGAAUGUAAUCUGGACAUUAAUAAAAACAUUUGCUU